UAAAUUCCACAACACAAUCUCCACAAUACACGUUCAAAACUUGAACCAAUAACACAUCACACGUUCAAGUCUCGAACCCGCAACAACAAUCGGCCACACUUUGUUCACAUUAAAAACAUCAACAUUUCAAGCUCAAAUCUAAGAUAUAGACUCAACGUGUUAGUGAGGAACAAAACUAACACUUAGAGACAACAAAAACAAGUAAAA
This 207-nucleotide long non-coding RNA is filed under the name Capsicum annuum. Its description in RNAcentral is "long non-coding RNA (CANN_LNC021749)". Lineage: Eukaryota; Viridiplantae; Streptophyta; Magnoliopsida; Solanales; Solanaceae. The record is from RNAcentral.